Molecule: long non-coding RNA, 415 nt
Filed under: Homo sapiens (human)
Lineage: Eukaryota; Metazoa; Chordata; Mammalia; Primates; Hominidae
Description: non-protein coding lnc-RNMT-6:2
Source: RNAcentral
CAGCAUUUGUUUGUAGAAGUCAACAUUAAUUAAUCUUCUCAACUGAAAUGAAAAUACUUUAUGGGAAUACACUGAGAACCCCCCGCCCCCGCCUGCCAGCACAUCAGAUGGAUUGAAGCAUUUGAAGGCAGAAUAUAGUUCACAGAAAAAGCAAACCUAAUUAUAACCUAAAGAUCAUACAUCAGGGUAGCUGGGACGAUGAAAGCAUCCCAAGACCUCCCUUUUCCAUCUGUGGCUGAUCACCUCUGGAACCCACAGCUAGCCGGCUGCUCCUCCACUAUCAGAUGGCGGCUGUCAGUCAUGGGCUUGUCACCGAGUGCAUCCGUCAUGCUCGGGCCAUGGGCCGGCACCUGUGUGUGUGUGUCCAGCUUAACGACAGAGAUUUUUGGAAAGACGCCCUAAGAUAGACAUACUU